Balaenoptera musculus (blue whale) is the source of this 363-nucleotide long non-coding RNA. RefSeq lists it as uncharacterized. The transcript has 4 exons. Lineage: Eukaryota; Metazoa; Chordata; Mammalia; Artiodactyla; Balaenopteridae. The record is from RefSeq and is a predicted model, not a curated record.
CGCCUCGGUGCCGGAAGCGAACGGCCCACUCGCCCCGCCUCUUCCGCUUUUCGCCCCUACACUUCCCGCAACGCAACACAGUGGAACCUAACGUACCUCAACUGCCGCAAAGAAGGGGCGCUACAGUUUGGGGCCGAGAAAAAGUUUGCUGACCCCUGGACUAGAGCAACACCUUCAUUUUAUAUGCGAGGAAAAUGAGGCCCAGGGAGGUGAACAAAAGAUCCCGCAUGGUAAUAUGCGGGUUUUUAUUCCAAACCCAGCAGCCCCAUGAUAAUGGCCAAAGAUGAAAAAGCAGAUACUGGAAUUACUUCCAUGCAGAUCUGGAUAUGAGAUACCAAUAAGUGGAAUUGCUGGGAUAUAUGG